Uranotaenia lowii is the source of this 859-nucleotide long non-coding RNA. RefSeq lists it as uncharacterized. The transcript is spliced from 3 exons. The record is from RefSeq and is a predicted model, not a curated record. Lineage: Eukaryota; Metazoa; Arthropoda; Insecta; Diptera; Culicidae.
UUUCUAGUUCUCAAGUGAUAACCACAAAAUGGUUCAAAUUUUUAGUGUUUCAUCGCCAUUUUGGAAAAGCAGCCGAACGCGUUUUUUGAAAUAUUUUGUGAGUGAACAAAAAGGAGCUGCUUAAAGUGCACCAAAUGAGCUCUCCGUUUCCAGCUCAAAGAUCCAGCCGGAAGAUUCGAAAUAUUGUUAAGGAGAAGUCAAAAAUGAUGUUCCCGAUUAUUGUUCCGGUAAAAAGGAAUCGAUUUGGUCAAGAAGGAUCGUAUGAAAGUGCUACAUUCAAAAGUGGAGUUCCUAUAGGAUCAAAAAGCAAAUCCAACUUACCGUAACAUUUGGCCGGAAGCUCGCACAAAAGCGAUAAUAUACAAGACGAAUGGUGGUUCAUCGUAUCGCUGACGCAUCGCGUAGUCAAAUUCCGGGUUUGACCGCUUCUGCUGGCGUUUUUUGCUGAUAGAAGCAGCCGAACAUCUGCCUUUUUGGGCAAAUCCGGAAACGUUCAAGGGGCGAGUUUUCAUCUACCUUGACAGCUGGUGCUAGUUGAAACUAGCGCUUCUCAAGCUAAGUCUUCCCAAUCACGAAGUCGACGAACAAAGUUAUACGGAAUGACUUAAUUGAAAUUAUCAAUCGGCCGUCAUAUUAUAGUUUUGACUUAUUUUAGUAUUAGAGCGAAAUGAUUGUGCUGCCUUUUUUCGCGAUAUACACGAAUUUGUGACCACGAAAAAAAGUAUAAUUGAGGUAAAUUACUGAAAACCUUUAUUUAAAUUUUUGAUUAAUUGUCUAUCAUGAUUUUGAUUCUCCGAAACCUUAGGAUUUGUGCAUGAAAAACGUUAAAAUAAGGUCUACAGUAAACAUGCAUGUUAAA